This 81-nucleotide transfer RNA is filed under the name Dermabacteraceae bacterium TAE3-ERU5. RNAcentral describes it as "tRNA-Leu". It matches the Rfam family "tRNA". From Rfam's summary of the family: Transfer RNA (tRNA) molecules are approximately 80 nucleotides in length. Their secondary structure includes four short double-helical elements and three loops (D, anti-codon, and T loops). The record is from RNAcentral. Lineage: Bacteria; Bacillati; Actinomycetota; Actinomycetes; Micrococcales; Dermabacteraceae. RNAcentral also lists the same sequence under 18 other names.
GCCGGAUUGGCGGAAUGGUAGACGCGGCGCACUCAAAAUGCGUUGCCUUCGGGCGUGUGGGUUCGAGUCCCACAUCCGGUA